RNAcentral lists this ribosomal RNA (443 nucleotides) under uncultured bacterium. RNAcentral's name for it is "partial 16S ribosomal RNA". It matches the Rfam family "Bacterial small subunit ribosomal RNA", at positions 28 to 507 of the family's 1533-position model. The record is from RNAcentral.
GAUGAACGCUGGCGGCAUGCCUAACACAUGCAAGUCGAUCGGUAAGGCUCUUCGGAGUACACGAGAGGCGGACGGCUGAGUAACGCGUAGGAACACACCCUGCAGUGAGGGAUAAGACACCGAAAGGUGUUCUAAUACCGCAUACGGUCUUCGGAUUAAAGCAUUUAUGCGCUGAAGGAAUGGCCUGCGUCAUAUUGGAUAGUUGGUGAGGUAAUGGCUCACCAAGUCGAUGAUGUGUAGCUGGUCUGAGAGGAUGAUCAGCCAGACUGGAACUGAGACACGGUCCAGACUCCUACGGGAGGCAGCAGUGAGGAAUAUUUCACAAUGAGCGAAAGCUUGAUGGAGCAAUGCCGCGUGCAGGAUGAAGGCCCUCGGGUUGUAAACUGCUUUUAUAAGAGAAGAUUAUGACGGUAACUUAUGAAUAAGGGACGGCUAACUACGUG